GUCCCUACGGGGCGCAGCAGUCGGGAAUAUUGCGCAAUGGAGGAAACUCUGACGCAGUGACGCCGCGUAUAGGAAGAAGGUUUUCGGAUUGUAAACUAUUGUCGUUAGGGAAGAGAAAGGACAGUACCUAAGGAGGAAGCUCCGGCUAACUACGUGCCAGCAGCCGCGGUAAUACGUAGGGAGCGAGCGUUAUCCGGAAUUAUUGGGUGUAAAGGGUGCGUAGACGGGAAAGCAAGUUAGUUGUGAAAUCCCUCGGCUUAACUGAGGAACUGCAACUAAAACUACUUUUCUUGAUGGCAGGAGAG
This 305-nucleotide ribosomal RNA is filed under the name uncultured bacterium. RNAcentral's name for it is "bacterial SSU rRNA". It matches the Rfam family "Bacterial small subunit ribosomal RNA", at positions 335 to 656 of the family's 1533-position model. The record is from RNAcentral.